This 407-nucleotide ribosomal RNA is filed under the name uncultured bacterium. RNAcentral describes it as "partial 16S ribosomal RNA". It matches the Rfam family "Bacterial small subunit ribosomal RNA", at positions 28 to 526 of the family's 1533-position model. The record is from RNAcentral.
GACGAACGCUGGCGGCGUGCCUAAUACAUGCAAGUAGGACGCAGUCGCGAACGGGUGAGCAACGCGUAGGUAACUGUCUAUUAGUGGGGGAUAACUACUGGAAACGAUAGCUAAUACCGCAUACUAGUAGAUGUACCUGCUUUGUAUUAGCUAGUAGGUAGGGUAAUGGCCUACCUAGGCUAAGAUACAUAGCCGACGUGGAGGGGAGGUCGGCCAAACUGGGACUGAGGAAAGGCCCAAACCUCUUCGGGGGGCAGGAGUAGGGGAACUUCGGAAAUGGGGGGAAACCUGAACGAGCAACGCCGCGUGAGUGAAAAAAGUUUUCGGGUCGUAAAACUAUGUUGUUAGAGAAGCGGUACUUAAACAGGAAGGGACGGCUAACUACGUGCCAGCAGCCGCGGUAAUAC